GCAGCAACGCCGCGUGCGGGAAGAAGGCCUUCGGGUUGUAAACCGCUUUGAGAGGGGAAGAGGCAGGACGGUACCCUCGGAACAAGUCUCGGCUAACUACGUGCCAGCAGCCGCGGUAAAACGUAGGAGGCGAGCGUUAUCCGGAGUUACUGGGUGUAAAGGGCGUGCAGGCGGCUGAGCAAGUCGUAUGUGAAAGCGCUCAGGCUCAACCGGGCGAGGACAUGCGAGACUGCUCAGCUAGAGGCAGGUAGAGGCGCGUGGAAUUCCGGGUGUAGUGGUGAAAUGCGUAGAGAUCCGGAGGAACACCAGUGGCGAAGGCGGCGCGCUGGGCCUGACCUGACGCUGAGGCGCGAAAGCAUGGGAGCGAACGGGAUUAGAAACCCCGGUAGUCCAUGCUGUAAACGAUGCGGACUAUGUGUGGCGACGGGAGUUGCCGUGCCGGAGCGAACGUGGUAAGUCCGCCACCUGGGGAGUACGGCCGCAAGGUUAAAACUCAAAGGAAUUG
RNAcentral lists this ribosomal RNA (505 nucleotides) under uncultured Ornatilinea sp. RNAcentral describes it as "bacterial SSU rRNA". It matches the Rfam family "Bacterial small subunit ribosomal RNA", at positions 388 to 912 of the family's 1533-position model. The record is from RNAcentral. Lineage: Bacteria; Bacillati; Chloroflexota; Anaerolineae; Anaerolineales; Anaerolineaceae.